AUGGCCCUGCAGGCACAGGUCUGCGUGUGCACAGAGGAGGAGGAGAAACGCAAGCUCUGGGACUCGUUGCGCAAGAAGUGCCAGAAGGCAAGGGCGAAAGUGGCAACUGCGAAGGCUUGGAAAGAAAAGCGAGAGCAAUGGGAGGUCCAGGGUCCUGCAUUCAUGGCAUUCCCGAGCGGUGGGGAGACACCAGGAGAGGAUGAGGAAAGCCCAGAGGACAAGCUGAGUCUUUGCCUUUUGGAGUACUCAUCUCUGCAAAGGGAGCGGAUGUGUUGCACAACGGUGAGUCCCAUGAAAGCCUCUAAGGCACAGAGGCUCCCAAGAUUGAUGUCGAGCAAAAGCCUCUUCCAGGAUCACAAGCAGCAGCGCCGGCCAGCGAGGAUGUUACCAGCACUGCUUCCGUCUGAUCAAGAAGGACCUAUACGCAAACCACUGUGUCUGACACUGUGGGUCUUGGUGGCUGUGAAAUAUGCACUCAGUGGUGGGUGAGCUUUGGUGGAGCAAGGAAAGGCCACUGCAGGACAGAGGAGUUUCAGUCCUAUUCCAAGGGCAGGCCUCUCCCAAGGCUUUGCUAUAGCAUGUCGGCUGCAGCCCUGCUCUUGGUGGCCCAUGCACCUUCUGGUCUGUGGCAGUGUGCCCUGCCAUUGCUGCAGAGCUCUGCUGUGGAGGGUGGAGACGAGAGGAGGGAGGAGGAGGAAGAGGAGAAGGAAGUGUAGUGCUGGGCAGCCAGGGCAACAGAGCUGCCAGGGAAGCAGCCGGGGGCUUGUACAGCCAAGGCACUGCAGGGCAUGGAGGCCAGCUCUGUCAGAGGUGCACAGAGCAGUGCCACGGGGACAACGAAAGCCUAGGCAGGAACCGUGCCUGGGGAGAGGGAAGCUAUGGGGGGCAGCUUUUCGGUUGGGUGGCUUGGCUCUGCCAAAGCUCUGCUCAGGUUCCUGAGCAGAGUUUUGUUCAACACUUCCUGGUUCGAAGGAGGGGGGAGCUGAGGUGAGAUGGGGACACUUCUGAAAACUCCUCUCCAGACACCUGGGGGGACAUAAUGCAU
Molecule: long non-coding RNA, 1045 nt
Filed under: Strigops habroptila (Kakapo)
Lineage: Eukaryota; Metazoa; Chordata; Aves; Psittaciformes; Psittacidae
Description: lncRNA (ENSSHBG00005013510.1)
Source: RNAcentral